This 253-nucleotide ribosomal RNA is filed under the name uncultured bacterium. Its description in RNAcentral is "partial 16S ribosomal RNA". It matches the Rfam family "Bacterial small subunit ribosomal RNA", at positions 524 to 776 of the family's 1533-position model. The record is from RNAcentral.
UACGUAGGGUGCAAGCGUUAAUCGGAAUUACUGGGCGUAAAGCGUGCGCAGGCGGUUUUGUAAGUCUGACGUGAAAUCCCCGGGCUCAACCUGGGAAUUGCGUUGGAGACUGCAAGGCUAGAAUCUGGCAGAGGGUGGUAGAAUUCCACGUGUAGCAGUGAAAUGCGUAGAGAUGUGGAGGAACACCGAUGGCGAAGGCAGCCCCCUGGGUCAAGAUUGACGCUCAUGCACGAAAGCGUGGGGAGCAAACAGG